UAUAUAUAUAUAUAUAUAUAUAUAUGGAGAGAGAAAGAGAGAGAAGUGAUUAGUCAUAGGAUUCAUUAGAAUCUAGGCACUAGAACACGUAAGAUGCCAGCAAUGGCUAGGUACAAUAACAUAGAGUUUACAAUGAGGUAAACAACCAUGAAGGCAUCAUGUAUUGGUAGAAUACUGUAGAUAUGGAAG
Molecule: long non-coding RNA, 189 nt
Organism: Octopus sinensis (East Asian common octopus)
Lineage: Eukaryota; Metazoa; Mollusca; Cephalopoda; Octopoda; Octopodidae
Exons: 3
Source: RefSeq, a predicted model, not a curated record